This is a long non-coding RNA of Micropterus dolomieu (smallmouth bass), 151 nucleotides long. RefSeq lists it as uncharacterized. Lineage: Eukaryota; Metazoa; Chordata; Actinopteri; Centrarchiformes; Centrarchidae. The transcript is spliced from 3 exons. The record is from RefSeq and is a predicted model, not a curated record.
AGCUUGUUAGCUGUUUACUUCCCUCUGGCAUUUUGUUCUCAGGACUAUAAAUAAUUUCAUUCCAUAAAGUUCAUCAGAUCACUUUUAUGUAGAUGUUGCUACAACAAGAGCAUGUUGAGAUGAUUUGAGACGACGUGGAAGCAGAUGUCAG